This 494-nucleotide ribosomal RNA is filed under the name Cladorrhinum brunnescens. Its description in RNAcentral is "eukaryotic LSU rRNA". It matches the Rfam family "Eukaryotic large subunit ribosomal RNA", at positions 113 to 631 of the family's 3401-position model. The record is from RNAcentral. Lineage: Eukaryota; Fungi; Ascomycota; Sordariomycetes; Sordariales; Podosporaceae.
AUUUGAAAUCUGGCCUCGGCCCGAGUUGUAAUUUGUAGAGGAAGCUUUUGGCGCGGCACCAACUGAGUCCCCUGGAACGGGGCGCCAUAGAGGGUGAGAGCCCCGUAUAGUUGGACGCUAAGCCUCUGUAAAGCUCCUUCGACGAGUCGAGUAGUUUGGGAAUGCUGCUCAAAAUGGGAGGUAAAUUUCUUCUAAAGCUAAAUACCGGCCAGAGACCGAUAGCGCACAAGUAGAGUGAUCGAAAGAUGAAAAGCACUUUGAAAAGAGGGUUAAAUAGCACGUGAAAUUGUUGAAAGGGAAGCGCUUGUGACCAGACUUGCGCCGGGCUGAUCAUCCGGAGUUCUCUCCGGUGCACUCGGCCCGGCUCAGGCCAGCAUCGGUUCUCGUGGGGGGAUAAAGGUCCCGGGAACGUGGCUCCCUCCGGGGAGUGUUAUAGCCCGGGGCGCAAUGCCCUCGCGGGGACCGAGGUUCGCGCAUCUGCAAGGAUGCUGGCG